This is a long non-coding RNA of Mya arenaria, 2947 nucleotides long. RefSeq lists it as uncharacterized. NCBI's taxonomy places the organism in Eukaryota, Metazoa, Mollusca, Bivalvia, Myida, Myidae. The transcript has 3 exons. The record is from RefSeq and is a predicted model, not a curated record.
UCAUAAAGCAAUGGAAACUACCAGGACAAGCCCAGAAGCCUUAAAUUUAACCAAGAUCCAAAAUAAGAAUUAAGGCCAAGCAAGCACCAAUCAAGAGACACAAUGCUAUAAGACAAUCGGGCUGAGAAACAUUAUGAAAAUAGUGUCAUUGGUGAUUGUUGGGGUGACAUUUAUUGCACUGUUAGUGAAACUUAAGUGAAAAUUAAGUAAGAACUCCUUGGGGCUGAAACAGGCUUAUGUGCACUCAACCUGACAGUAUAACUAGCAUAGUAUUUUUUCCAAGCACAUUUAACACAUACAUGUAGUAAAAUAUGAAAGAUGAAAAUGGUCAUACAAGUUUGUUGUGUUUGGGGUCUUUCAAUAAAAGAUCUGAUGUUUCCCUCCCAGGUGGUAGUUAUCUGUAGAUCUGUUAAGUUAUACCUGCUGUAAUGUCCAUAAAACAAGAGAGCCGCGGAACAAACACCAACAUUUCUCUCUUGAUUUACAUUCCCCAAAGGGGCACAACUCAUCAAGCAUUAAAGCCAGAAAAAUGGGCCUUGCUGAACAUAUCCACCAAGUUUCAUUUAAAUACAUCAACAUUUUUUUUCUUGUUAUUACCAUGGUAAAGUUUAUGCACAAAGACGGCACUGUUGAAGCCUUUAAAACUGACAGUACCUUUCUAUUUUUCUUUGAAAAACAGACAAUUAAAUCAAUUGUGUGUCAUUUAUAACAUUGAACAGAACAUGUGCAAAAAUUUCUUUAGGAAAAUCAAUGUCCUACAUGACUUAUAAAUUUCAAGAUUUUAUUAGUUGCAUUCCAUUUAGUUAACGUCCAUGAUGUAUUGAUAAAGACUUGUUUCAAACUUUAGUCCGAAGAAGCAGACAGGCAAUCCCAGGAAUACCAGUCCAUUCUGUUCCGCUCUUCAGCAGUAAAGACGAUAGCGACAUGUAAAAGUAACCAGACUUAGAGGAAGAUACUUGGUAGCUGAUCGCAGACUCAACAAGAAGGCUCCUGUUCUGGCUUUGAGCAAGAGUUGAAAAUCAAGGAGCUGUGAUGUACAAUAGAGGUACGCUCAAACGUGGAGGAAAUGUUCAACCCUGACCGGACCCAGUUGCCAAUAAUCUUUAUACUGCGAUUGGUUAGGAAGUCUUAUUCAGGCCAAAUGCUGCACUGGCCAAGAGCUUGGUCACAAGGAAGGAUACAGGAAGACAGUUGUGUUGAUGAACAGCAGCUAGGCAGGAACAGUACUCUGUAUGGGGGAGAAGACAAUAAAUGAUCACACUGUCAGUCAGCACCAGCUGAAGCUGAUUGUUUGCAUUUCUAUCAUGCAGGCACUAUGUGAAUGAGACAUAAUUUACAGUUUAAUUGUUCAUUUGUUCUGCCAUAAAUUAUAAUAAUUAGAUGUUGUUAAUUUUCUAUUAAGUUUAUAUUCCUGUUCAUUUGUUUUAUUAUUCCCCGCCAAACGGAAGGUUUCAGGAGAGGGGGUUUUGUUUUGGCGUUGUCUGUCCGUCAGUCAUUCUGUUCGUUCAUCCGUCCCUCCCUAACCAUAACUUGGUAGGCAUUGACUAGAAAUGUUAAAAAUUGGUCAGAAUGUUCCCCUUGAUCAUAUCUCGACCACAUGUAAGUGGGGUCAAAAACUAGGUCAAAUCUUAUAAAAUCUUUUGAACAAACUAAAGGCAUUAUACAUGGUCAAACCUUAAUCAAAAUGUUUUCCCUGAUGAACUCUUGGACAUAUAUAAAACUGGUCACAUAUGAUCGAAAAUUAGGUCAUUAGGAAAAUCUUAGAAAAAUCUUGUCAUGGUAUUUGAUUGGUCAGAUUUUGUUUAAACUUGGUCAGGAUGUACCCUUGAUGAAAUAUGGACUGCUUGUAAAAGUGGGUCACUAGGUCAAAUCUUUGGAACAAACUAGAGGCAUUAAACAAGGUCAAAUAUUCAUGAAACCUAAUCAAAAUGUUUCCUUGUUAUUUCAGGAAUAAGCCAAUCAAUUAUGCAUUCAUGCUUUUAAUUUUUUAAUAAUUUGUCCCCUCCUCCCUCACUGAGAGGAAAGGUGGAUUAUAUUAAUGGUAGGUGUUUGUUUGUGCGUCAGAGCAAUCUUGUCCAUGGCAUAACAAGGACUUUGAGGUGUUGUCUUCAAACUUCAUAUACAGAAUGAUCUUAUUGCGAGUGCACAGGAAUCAUAACUCUUGCUGCAGUUUUAUUUUAGUUAUUUUCCUUUAUUUAUUUUCAUACUUAUUUUUUGUCUGGAGUCUAACUUAAAAAGACUUUAAAGUAUUGACUUUAAACUUCAUAUACUGAUAGAUCUCAUUUAGGAGAAGUGCAGUGAAUAUGAACCAUAACUCUGGCUGUCAUAUCUUUUUGUCAUUGCCCUUUGAAAAAUUUCAUUGUUUUCCUUUGUUCUAAGGGGAAGUUGUUACUGUUAAGAUAAAAUACGAUUUAUUUUGAUUAGGCAAGAUAGCAAAAAGUACAACAAAAGCACUCUGAGAUUUUUACUGAGUAUUUUUAACAUAACAGUAUAGGGUUUUACAAUUGUAUAAGAGCUGCAGUGGCAAAAUUAGUGAUGAUUACAAUAAUAAUUACAUUUUACAAUUAACAUAAUUAUAUGACAAUUUUAUAAUAUGAAUUGAUUCUAAUAAGAACAGUUUGAAAAACAGUGUAGUAUCAUUGUUAUUAAAAAUAUAUAAGAGAAGCAUGAAUGAUAGGUGCCAAGCUUAGAUGUCCAUUUAAAGCUGUAAAAGCAAUUAAUGCAAAAAUUGUUUGGACUAUUAAAGCCAAUUACCCACAAGGUAUAAUGAUGUUCCAUGAUGUUGUAUCACACAUGGAUGGCAGCUAUCACAGAAACUUAGUUACCAUAUCAUACAGUAUGAUGUAUUAUGACAGUCUGUGACUGCUCUUGUUAGCUUUAAAGUCAUCGAUCUAUUUUUGUUGUUGUUUUCUUUCUUUUAUUUAUUGAUGAUUUGUUAGAUUGUCAA